UAUACGACUCUCGGCAACGGAUAUCUCGGCUCUCGCAUCGACGAAGAACGUAGCGAAAUGCGAUACUUGGUGUGAAUUGCAGAAUCCCGUGAACCAUCGAGUCUUUGAACGCAAGUUGCGCCCGAGGCCUUUCGGUUGAGGGCACGCCUGCCUGGGCGUCACGC
RNAcentral lists this ribosomal RNA (164 nucleotides) under Lilium pardalinum. Its description in RNAcentral is "5.8S ribosomal RNA". It matches the Rfam family "5.8S ribosomal RNA". Rfam says of the family: 5.8S ribosomal RNA (5.8S rRNA) is a component of the large subunit of the eukaryotic ribosome. It is transcribed by RNA polymerase I as part of the 45S precursor that also contains 18S and 28S rRNA. The record is from RNAcentral. Lineage: Eukaryota; Viridiplantae; Streptophyta; Magnoliopsida; Liliales; Liliaceae.